CCUACGGGUGGCAGCAGUGAGGAAUAUUGGUCAAUGGACGAGAGUCUGAACCAGCCAAGUAGCGUGAAGGAUGACUGCCCUAUGGGUUGUAAACUUCUUUUAUAUGGGAAUAAAACAGGGUAUGCAUACCCUCUUGUAUGUACCAUAUGAAUAAGGAUCGGCUAACUCCGUGCCAGCAGCCGCGGUAAUACGGAGGAUCCGAGCGUUCGCCGGAUUUAUUGGGUUUAAAGGGAGCGUAGGUGGAUGGUUAAGUCAGUUGUGAAAGUUUGCGGCUCAAACGUAAAAUUGCAGUUGAAACUGGCAGUCGUGAGUACAGGAGAGGUGGGCGGAAAUCGUGGUGUAGCGGUGAAAUGCUUAG
This 358-nucleotide ribosomal RNA is filed under the name uncultured bacterium. RNAcentral's name for it is "partial 16S ribosomal RNA". It matches the Rfam family "Bacterial small subunit ribosomal RNA", at positions 338 to 693 of the family's 1533-position model. The record is from RNAcentral.